Molecule: ribosomal RNA, 263 nt
Filed under: uncultured bacterium
Lineage: Bacteria
Description: partial 16S ribosomal RNA
Rfam family: Bacterial small subunit ribosomal RNA
Source: RNAcentral
CCGGCGCACGGGUGAGUAACGCGUAUGCGACCUGCCCGUUGCAGGGGGAUAAUCGGGAGAAAUCCCGUCUAAUACCGCGUAACGCCGCGGGGCUGCAUGGCCCUGCGGCCAAAGGGAGCGAUUCCGGCAACGGAUGGGCACGCGUGACAUUAGCUAGUUGGCGGGGCAACGGCCCACCAAGGCGACGAUGUCUAGGGGUUCUGAGAGGAAGGUCCCCCACACUGGGACUGAGACACGGCCCAGACUCCUACGGGAGGCAGCAG